RNAcentral lists this ribosomal RNA (433 nucleotides) under uncultured bacterium. RNAcentral's name for it is "bacterial SSU rRNA". It matches the Rfam family "Bacterial small subunit ribosomal RNA", at positions 471 to 902 of the family's 1533-position model. The record is from RNAcentral.
GACCUGCCCUGCAAAGAAAGCCCCGGUUAAUUAUGUGCCACCAGCCGCGGUAAUACCUCCGGUGCUUGCGUUGUCUGGAAUUAUUGGGCGUAAUCAGCUCGUAUGUGGUUCGUCGCGUCUGAUGUGAAAGUCUGGGGCUCAACCCCGCACCUGCAUUCUGUUCUGACUAGCUUUAGUGUGGGAAGGGAGACUGUAAUUCCUGGUGUAGCGGUGGAAUGCACAGAUAUAAGAAGGAACACCGAUGGCGAACGCCUGUCUCUGGGCCCUUACUGACACUGACGAACGAAUGCGUGGGGAGCGAAAUUGAUUACAUUGCCUGGCCGUCCACGACACAGAGGGCGGUAGCUGUGUGUGCCAACUAACGGGAUCCUCUCCGACGCUAAUGCCUUAUUUGCCCCCCCUGGUGGGUAGUGCCAUCGCAAUAUUAAUCCUC